Molecule: ribosomal RNA, 603 nt
Filed under: Cytobacillus oceanisediminis
Lineage: Bacteria; Bacillati; Bacillota; Bacilli; Caryophanales; Bacillaceae
Description: bacterial SSU rRNA
Rfam family: Bacterial small subunit ribosomal RNA
Source: RNAcentral
CUUGCUCCCUGAAGUCAGCGGCGGACGGGGGAGUAACACGUGGGCAACCUGCCUGUAAGACUGGGAUAACUCCGGGAAACCGGGGCUAAUACCGGAUAAUUCUUUCCCUCACAUGAGGGAAAGCUGAAAGAUGGUUUCGGCUAUCACUUACAGAUGGGCCCGCGGCGCAUUAGCUAGUUGGUGAGGUAACGGCUCACCAAGGCAACGAUGCGUAGCCGACCUGAGAGGGUGAUCGGCCACACUGGGACUGAGACACGGCCCAGACUCCUACGGGAGGCAGCAGUAGGGAAUCUUCCGCAAUGGACGAAAGUCUGACGGAGCAACGCCGCGUGAGUGAUGAAGGUUUUCGGAUCGUAAAACUCUGUUGUUAGGGAAGAACAAGUACCGGAGUAACUGCCGGUACCUUGACGGUACCUAACCAGAAAGCCACGGCUAACUACGUGCCAGCAGCCGCGGUAAUACGUAGGUGGCAAGCGUUGUCCGGAAUUAUUGGGCGUAAAGCGCGCGCAGGCGGUUCCUUAAGUCUGAUGUGAAAGCCCCCGGCUCAACCGGGGAGGGUCAUUGGAAAACUGGGGAACUUGAGUGCAGAAGAGAAGAGUGGAA